This 121-nucleotide ribosomal RNA is filed under the name Arcanobacterium sp. S3PF19. Lineage: Bacteria; Bacillati; Actinomycetota; Actinomycetes; Actinomycetales; Actinomycetaceae. The record is from RNAcentral.
UUGACGGUGGUCAUAGCAGCAGGGAAACGCCCGGUCCCAUUCCGAACCCGGAAGCUAAGCCUGCCCGCGCCGAUGGUACUGCACCCGCGAGGGUGUGGGAGAGUAGGAAGCCGCCGUCACC